GGGAAAAAUGAGCUGAGCCCCGAGUGCCUGGACGGGGCCCGGGGGUGCCUGAAAGCUGACGGGGUUUCCAUCCCCCAAUCCUACACUUCUUUCCUGGCUCCCGUUUCCUCUUCCAAACUUUACAACGAAGUCCGGGGGUGUCGGGAGCACGACAGGCACCCCGAGGCUCAGUUCGAGACCCCCUACGUUGUGAGGCUCCACAAUUUCCACCAGGUGGCGCCACCCCAGCCCUGCUUCACCUUCCAGCACCCCA
Sturnus vulgaris (Common starling) is the source of this 253-nucleotide non-coding RNA. The record is from RefSeq and is a predicted model, not a curated record. Lineage: Eukaryota; Metazoa; Chordata; Aves; Passeriformes; Sturnidae.